CUGGCGUCCUUCGGGCGUCCGAGUUGUAAUCUAUAGAAGUGUUUCUCCCGUGCCGGACCAUGUCCAAGUCCCUUGGAACAGGGUAUCAAAGAGGGUGACAAUCCCGUACUUGACAUGACCACCGGUGCUCUGUGAUACACUUUCUACGAGUCGAGUUGUUUGGGAAUGCAGCUCAAAAUGGGUGGUAAAUUCCAUCUAAAGCUAAAUAUUGGCGAGAGACCGAUAGCGAACAAGUACCGUGAGGGAAAGAUGAAAAGCACUUUGGAAAGAGAGUUAAACAGUACGUGAAAUUGUUGAAAGGGAAACGAUUGAAGUCAGUCGUGUUCUUUGGACUCAGCCGGUUCUUCCGGUCUAUUUCCUUUGAACGGGUCAACAUC
This 377-nucleotide ribosomal RNA is filed under the name Vanrija musci. RNAcentral describes it as "eukaryotic LSU rRNA". It matches the Rfam family "Eukaryotic large subunit ribosomal RNA", at positions 122 to 503 of the family's 3401-position model. The record is from RNAcentral. Lineage: Eukaryota; Fungi; Basidiomycota; Tremellomycetes; Trichosporonales; Trichosporonaceae.